Molecule: ribosomal RNA, 513 nt
Filed under: uncultured bacterium
Lineage: Bacteria
Description: partial 16S ribosomal RNA
Rfam family: Bacterial small subunit ribosomal RNA
Source: RNAcentral
GACGAACGCUGGCGGCAUGCCUAAUACAUGCAAGUCGAGCGAACAGAUGAAGUGCUUGCACUUCUGACGUUAGCGGCGAACGGGUGAGUAACACGUAAGGAAUCUACCUAUAAGCGGGGGAUAACAUUCGGAAACGGGUGCUAAUACCGCAUAAUAUCUUCUUCCGCAUGGAAGAAGAUUGAAAGACGGCUCUGCUGUCACUUAUAGAUGACCUUGCGGUGCAUUAGUUAGUUGGUGGGGUAACGGCCUACCAAGACGAUGAUGCAUAGCCGACCUUGGAGGGUGAUCGGCCACAUUUGGACUUAGGCACGGCCCAAACUCCUACGGGAGGCAGAAGUAGGGAAUCUUCCGCAAUGGGCGAAAGGCUGACGGAGCAAUGCCGCGUGAGUGAAGAAGGCCUUCGGGUCGUAAAACUCUGUUAUAAGAGAAGAACAAAUUGUCGAGUAACUGCUACAGUCUUGACGGUAUCUUAUCAGAAAGCCACGGCUAACUACGUGCCAGCAGCCGCCGCAG